This 493-nucleotide ribosomal RNA is filed under the name uncultured bacterium. RNAcentral describes it as "bacterial SSU rRNA". It matches the Rfam family "Bacterial small subunit ribosomal RNA", at positions 28 to 533 of the family's 1533-position model. The record is from RNAcentral.
GACGAACGCUGGCGGCGUGCUUAAAAACAUGCAAGUCGAACGGACUUCUCAUGAAGCUUGCGAUUGAGAAGUUAGUGGCGGACGGGUGAGUAACGCGUGGGCAACCUGCCCCUGAGCCCGGGAUAACAGUUCGAAAGGACUGCUAAGACCGGAUAUACUUGCGGUGAAGCAUUUCACUGCAAGGAAAGGGAACGCUCAGGGAUGGGCCCGCGUCCCAUUAGCUAGUUGGUGAGGUAACGGCCCACCAAGGCGACGAUGGGUAGCCGGCCUGAGAGGGUGAACGGCCACACUGGGACUGAGACACGGCCCAGACUCCUACGGGAGGCAGCAGUUGGGAAUCUUCGGCAAUGGGCGCAAGCCUGACCGAGCAACGCCGCGUGAGUGAUGAAGGUUUUCGGAUUGUAAAGCUCUGUCUUCCGGGACGAUAAUGACGGUACCGGAGGAGGAAGCCACGGCUAACUACGUGCCAGCAGCCGCGGUAAGCACGAGAGUA